RNAcentral lists this ribosomal RNA (270 nucleotides) under uncultured bacterium. RNAcentral's name for it is "partial 16S ribosomal RNA". It matches the Rfam family "Bacterial small subunit ribosomal RNA", at positions 940 to 1210 of the family's 1533-position model. The record is from RNAcentral.
UGUGGUUUAAUUUGAUGCAACGCGAAGAACCUUACCUACUUUUGACAUCCAGAGAACUUAGCAGAGAUGCUUUGGUGCCUUCGGGAACUCUGAGACAGGUGCUGCAUGGCUGUGGUCAGCUCGUGUUGUGAAAUGUUGGGUUAAGUCCCGCAACGAGCGCAACCCUUAUCCUUUGUUGCCAGCGGUUCGGCCGGGAACUCAAAGGAGACUGCCAGUGAUAAACCGGAGGAAGGUGGGGAUGACGUCAAGUCAUCAUGGCCCUUACGAGUA